AGCUGCUUCAGUUCCUUCUCUGAAAUUGCUCUUGAACCUGAUUGCCACAGUGCGCAGGUACCUCAUUCUACCAGUUCCUGUAGUCUUCCUCCUGAUUGCCUUCAUGCUCCAGUUAUACUUGCGGAUCCGCGCGGCUGGGUAGCCACAGGAGGCACAGCGGCUCUUCUGAAGAUGAAAGCUCCGCCGCCCGCAGCGGACGCACAGCGUGUGCGUCUUGUUCCGCCGCUUCCCAAAGCUUCCGGUUCCCUUGCCCAUUUGGUGUUCUCGCCGGUCGACCCCUGCGAAUGUUGGCGGCG
This 296-nucleotide unclassified non-coding RNA is filed under the name Hevea brasiliensis (rubber tree). The record is from RNAcentral. Lineage: Eukaryota; Viridiplantae; Streptophyta; Magnoliopsida; Malpighiales; Euphorbiaceae.